UUUAUGGAGAGUUUGAUCCUGGCUCAGGACGAACGCUGGCGGCGUGCCUAAUACAUGCAAGUCGAGCGAACAGAAAAGGAGCUUGCUCCUUUGACGUUAGCGGCGGACGGGUGAGUAACACGUGGGCAACCUACCCUAUAGUUUGGGAUAACUCCGGGAAACCGGGGCUAAUACCGAAUAAUCUCUUUUGCUUCAUGGCAAGAGACUGAAAGACGGUUUCGGCUGUCGCUAUAGGAUGGGCCCGCGGCGCAUUAGCUAGUUGGUGAGGUAACGGCUCACCAAGGCGACGAUGCGUAGCCGACCUGAGAGGGUGAUCGGCCACACUGGGACUGAGACACGGCCCAGACU
This 348-nucleotide ribosomal RNA is filed under the name Lysinibacillus sp. HST-98. Its description in RNAcentral is "bacterial SSU rRNA". It matches the Rfam family "Bacterial small subunit ribosomal RNA", at positions 1 to 337 of the family's 1533-position model. Lineage: Bacteria; Bacillati; Bacillota; Bacilli; Caryophanales; Bacillaceae. The record is from RNAcentral.